GCCGCCGUAGCUCAGCUGGUUAGAGCGCUUGAUUGUGGAUCAAGAGGUCCCCCGUUCAACCCGGGGCGGCGGUACCA
This 77-nucleotide transfer RNA is filed under the name Thermoanaerobaculia bacterium. RNAcentral describes it as "tRNA-His". It matches the Rfam family "tRNA". From Rfam's summary of the family: Transfer RNA (tRNA) molecules are approximately 80 nucleotides in length. Their secondary structure includes four short double-helical elements and three loops (D, anti-codon, and T loops). Lineage: Bacteria; Pseudomonadati; Acidobacteriota; Thermoanaerobaculia. The record is from RNAcentral.